Molecule: ribosomal RNA, 1072 nt
Filed under: uncultured Gammaproteobacteria bacterium
Lineage: Bacteria; Pseudomonadati; Pseudomonadota; Gammaproteobacteria
Description: bacterial SSU rRNA
Rfam family: Bacterial small subunit ribosomal RNA
Source: RNAcentral
GAGUUUGAUCCUGGCUCAGAUUGAACGCUGGCGGCAGGCCUAACACAUGCAAGUCGAACGGUAACAUUUCUAGCUUGCUAGAAGAUGACGAGUGGCGGACGGGUGAGUAAUGCUUGGGAACUUGCCUUUGCGAGGGGGAUAACAGUUGGAAACGACUGCUAAUACCGCAUAAUGUUUUCAAACCAAACGGGGCUUAGGCUCCGGCGCAAAGAGAGGCCCAAGUGAGAUUAGCUAGUUGGUGAGGUAAAGGCUCACCAAGGCCACGAUCUCUAGCUGUUCUGAGAGGAAGAUCAGCCACACUGGAACUGAGACACGGUCCAGACUCCUACGGGAGGCAGCAGUGGGGAAUAUUGCACAAUGGGGGAAACCCUGAUGCAGCCAUGCCGCGUGUGUGAAGAAGGCCUUCGGGUUGUAAAGCACUUUCAGUUGUGAGGAAAAGUUAGUAGUUAAUACCUGCUAGCCGUGACGUUAACAACAGAAGAAGCACCGGCUAACUCCGUGCCAGCAGCCGCGGUAAUACGGAGGGUGCGAGCGUUAAUCGGAAUUACUGGGCGUAAAGCGCACGCAGGCGGUUUGUUAAGCUAGAUGUGAAAGCCCCGGGCUCAACCUGGGAUAGUCAUUUAGAACUGGCAGACUAGAGUCUUGGAGAGGGGAGUGGAAUUCCAGGUGUAGCGGUGAAAUGCGUAGAUAUCUGGAGGAACAUCAGUGGCGAAGGCGACUCCCUGGCCAAAGACUGACGCUCAUGUGCGAAAGUGUGGGUAGCGAACAGGAUUAGAUACCCUGGUAGUCCACACCGUAAACGCUGUCUACUAGCUGUGUGUGCCUUUAAGGCUGUGCGUAGCGAAGCUAACGCGAUAAGUAGACCGCCUGGGGAGUACGGCCGCAAGGUUAAAACUCAAAUGAAUUGACGGGGGCCCGCACAAGCGGUGGAGCAUGUGGUUUAAUUCGAUGCAACGCGAAGAACCUUACCUACACUUGACAUGCUGAGAACUUUCUAGAGAUAGAUUGGUGCCUUCGGGAACUCAGACACAGGUGCUGCAUGGCUGUCGUCAGCUCGUGUCGUGAGAUGUUG